AUUCUAGAGCUAAUACAUGCUGUAAAGCCCGACUUUUCGGAAGGGCCGUAUUUAUUAGAUAACAGACCAAUAUUCCUCGUGUCUAUUGUGGUGACUCAUAGUAACUGAUCGGAUCGCACGGGCGUGCCCGCGACAAACCAUUCAAGUUUCUGCCCCAUCAGCUUUCGAUGGUAGUGUAUUGGACUACCAUGGCUUUUACGGGUAACGGAGGAUUAGGGUUCGAUUCCGGAGAGGGAGCCUGAGAAACGGCUACCACAUCUAAGGAAGGCAGCAGGCGCGUAAAUUACCCAAUCCUGACUCAGGGAGGUAGUG
This 312-nucleotide ribosomal RNA is filed under the name uncultured Spirotrichea. Its description in RNAcentral is "SSU rRNA". It matches the Rfam family "Eukaryotic small subunit ribosomal RNA", at positions 155 to 469 of the family's 1831-position model. The record is from RNAcentral. Lineage: Eukaryota; Ciliophora; Spirotrichea.